RNAcentral lists this ribosomal RNA (497 nucleotides) under uncultured bacterium. RNAcentral's name for it is "partial 16S ribosomal RNA". It matches the Rfam family "Bacterial small subunit ribosomal RNA", at positions 28 to 507 of the family's 1533-position model. The record is from RNAcentral.
GAUGAACGCUGGCGGCGUGCCUAAUACAUGCAAGUCGAGCGAACAGACGAGGAGCUUGCUCCUCUGACGUUAGCGGCGGACGGGUGAGUAACACGUGGAUAACCUACCUAUAAGACUGGGAUAACUUCGGGAAACCGGAGCUAAUACCGGAUAAUAUAUUGAACCGCAUGGUUCAAUAGUGAAAGACGGUUUUGCUGUCACUUAUAGAUGGAUCCGCGCCGCAUUAGCUAGUUGGUAAGGUAACGGCUUACCAAGGCAACGAUGCGUAGCCGACCUGAGAGGGUGAUCGGCCACACUGGAACUGAGACACGGUCCAGACUCCUACGGGAGGCAGCAGUAGGGAAUCUUCCGCAAUGGUCGAAAGCCUGACGGAGCAACGCCGCGUGAAUGAUGAAGGUCUUCGGAUCGUAAAACUCUGUUAUUAGGGAAGAACAAAUGUGUAAGUAACUAUGCACGUCUUGACGGUACCUAAUCAGAAAGCCACGGCUAACUACGUG